This 451-nucleotide unclassified non-coding RNA is filed under the name Hevea brasiliensis (rubber tree). The record is from RNAcentral. Lineage: Eukaryota; Viridiplantae; Streptophyta; Magnoliopsida; Malpighiales; Euphorbiaceae.
UCAAAAAAAAAAAAAAAAGGCAAUACAAAUUCACUUGGGAUUUAUCUGGUAUGAAGACUGACCGAUCAACUGGGUUUAAUUCAAUAAGGAAUGGGCAGGGUCCUAGAUAUGCACGGGAGAUCUGGGGCAAAGAGAGAUGCUGUGUUCUAUAAGAAGAAACGCGUAAGAGAAAAAGAACCGAGAGGAAGGAAAGGAGAUAGAGAGAUUAGAUCUCAGAAUUCGAUACGGUUUUUCUAUUUUUGGAGGGAGAGAGAGAGAAGCCUGGCAGAGCAGUAACAGUGCAGCGUUGGUGCCGUUUAGUAUUUGAUUUACAGUUGAAUUAUAGCAGGCAUUAGCAGUCAUCAUCAUGAAUUUCAUCCAAUAAAAAGAAGAUAAUCAAUAAGAAUAUUGACUUUUGGGUAAUGGAAGCCCAUGUUUUCGUUCCAGCAAAUUAAAUUAAAGUAAAGUGUCG